CCGUCAUUAAGGUAGAAAUUGGGGAUUUCUCUGGGGUUUCUCGAUCUUUAUCGUCGACAGUGGCUUCUUCUUCAACUUCUCGCACUCGUUCAUCACUAACAGAUGAUGCGUUGACCGAAAUCUUUGCUCAUCUUCCACUGAAUUCGAUUUAUAGAUUUAAAUGUCUAUCAAAGGUAUGGUCAUCUAACCAUUCAAACCCUAAUUUCAUGAUUAAAUGGUUUGAUAUCAAUAAAAAGUCACUCCCAUGGAUACUGUGUUAUUCAAUCCAUGAUGGCCGCAUUCCUGAUUUCCAUUCAGAGUUUAUGUCUAGAAAUGAACAUUUGUUCUCUCUUAAGUUUCUCUUAGAUCAGAAACCAUUUCAAGGAGAUAAGUUAAUCCUGUUAGGUUCUAGUAAUGGUUUGGUACUUUGUUCAGAUAGUUUAUUACCUCGGAGUGUCAUGUAUCAUGUUUGUAAUCCAUUAACUCAGAAAUGGGUUUCACUUCCUGAACCACCAAGUUGCCAGACCUGAGGAUUUAUUGUUACUGGUAUAUUUUCUGAGUAUUCAUCAACAUUUGCAAGUUGUUAUAAGGUUAUACGUAUCCCAUAUUUUAAGGAGCCUUCGAAUUUUUUUUAAUGUUGAUAUGUUUUCUUCUAAUUUGGGUGUAUGAGAAAGUAUUGAAGUUUCAUGCGAUGAAACUGUCGAGUCAGGAUGGACUAAAUUUGAUAAAUUCGUUAUCCUUAGUGGUGUUCUGUUUUGGAUUGAAAGGGGGCAUAGACUGUUAGUUUACAACCUCAAUCAGAAAAAUACUAGUGAUGGGCGACAUCAAUGUAGUUUGAUUAAUUUGCCAGAUGAGGAGUUUGAUAAUGCUGAUGUUCAUAACCUCCUUAGUCGUAUUGGGGAGUCUGAAGGCAGGGUUUGCUACACUAAAAUUGGAUGGGCAGGAAGGGGAGUGACUCUGAGUGUUUGGGUGCUCAAUGAGGUCAACUGGCAAAUAUUGCACAAGGAUAUUUCACUAGGCGAUAUGUUAGCAGAACUGCGUUCUCGGAUAGGUGAUCCAGGUGCAGCACUCCAGGUUUUAGGUUUUAGUCCUUUAGACCGUAAUGUUGUUUUGUUCGGUUGGAGGAACUGGGUUUUGGGGUUUAAUAUCCAAACCAGAAGAUUUGAAGACCUGUGCUUGGAUAACAGACAAGUACAUGUUGCAGGUGCAAUGUUCCAGCCGUUUGUUUUGAAGCCAAUGCCAACAUUACUUCCACCACCCUCUUGGAUUGACACUUAAAUGUCAUCUUUGCAUCCAAAACUGAGGAACUCAUUUGUCUCUUAUUGCCUCUUUAUAAUGUUCCUUUUGCUCAAUGAUGAACUUUAUGCCUUUGGUGCACUAGAUUUUCUCUCGAAUCCAAGGAUAUCAAGAUGGUGUUUUGUUAUUUUUGCUUAAUGUUACUAAUUUGGUGUUUUUAGGGAAGUAACGACUUUUUAUCAAGAAAUUUUAAGUCUGUUCGAUUACAGGCAGCAAACAAUGUUACUUGAUGUUUGUGUAUCUGUUAACUUUUGCAGUACGCUGUUUCUCUACUUUCUAAGUUCUAGAUACAUUAGUUAAUGCUUCGUGAGACUUAAUUAGUGGCUAUUGGGGUUUCAUCCCAGGUCUCCUAUAAGAUACACCAGUAGGGGUGAUUUUUAAUAUGUGCCCUAAAGUUGAAUCUGCAAAAGGUUAACAUCUCUCGAGUUCGGGAUAGCAUAAUUUAUUAAUCUUUUAUUCCAACCACUGAAACAGUCGUGCUUGUAAUAAUAUUGUAUCUUCUUUGGCAUUAUGAUCGAUAGAUACCUGCAAUUUCCUCAAGGGCUGUGCUGCUGGUGAGAUAAAACUUGAAACUCAAUAUGUGAUGACAUUGUAAGUGGCAGCAAAUUGUUGAAUUGAAGCAAGACUCCAAAGUCAGUGAUAGGGUAAGAAAGAGACUAUCUGUAGGUUGCUUGCAGGGCUUAAGAGUAGUCAUGCAUCCACUUGAUGCUGUACACAAAGAUCCCCAAGAUGAAGAAGCUCGUGCGGUUGCAAUCACCACCAUGCUGAAGGAUUUCCAAACACCAUGCGGAAGCAAAUCAGUACAGGUGCUGUCGUCGAGAUCAUCUCGAGGAAUUGUCUCAUCUUGUCUCUGCUGAAGGUAAGAUAUGUAGGAAUUAUAGCUACAAUACUACUGCUUCUACUGCCUGUAAUUAGUUCAACUGUCUGGGUUUGCGAUUCAGAACUUUUGUACUGCAUGAAAAGAUGUACUUGUUUCAGUAAAAAAGAAACCUCGUGUUCUCUAAAAUAAAAAAUGCAGUGAUGCAGAUUUGGGUUCAAUCAAUUACUUGUAUUAUGAAACUACCUCAGGAUAGCAGGUUCUUUUAUUCUGCAGAUUUGAAUGGUGGAAUUGUUUACGUUGCA
Molecule: RNA transcript, 2397 nt
Organism: Papaver somniferum (opium poppy)
Lineage: Eukaryota; Viridiplantae; Streptophyta; Magnoliopsida; Ranunculales; Papaveraceae
Exons: 2
Source: RefSeq, a predicted model, not a curated record